Prionailurus viverrinus (fishing cat) is the source of this 1151-nucleotide long non-coding RNA. RefSeq lists it as uncharacterized. The record is from RefSeq and is a predicted model, not a curated record. NCBI's taxonomy places the organism in Eukaryota, Metazoa, Chordata, Mammalia, Carnivora, Felidae. The transcript is spliced from 4 exons.
GGCUCAAGGAAAACGCUCCGUCGUACUGUCCACCAAUCGCCCACAUCCAGGGCUCAAGUGGCCAUCCCUGAUUUGCGGAAUCAGCACCGGGCCAAGCCGUGGUUUAGACACCCGGUUCACAAUGAUCAAUGGAGCUAUGGAAACAGCAGACAUCGCGCCGGAGCCUGCUGGCCUCCCAUCUGGAGCCUCACAGACACUGAAGGCUAUGAAAGCUGUAGUACUGUGGAGACGAAAAGGACAUAUGGCAAUCACCUCAUUUGUCUCCUUCCUCCGAAGACCACAACUAUAGCACCAUAUAGGAUCCGACACAAAAGGAGCCAAUAAGAAAUGGAAAUGGAGUCAAAGAAGAGGAAGUCGUUUCCCGAGAUGCAUCUGUGAGAGUGUCUGGCAGGUGGAAGGGAGGGAACGAGCAUCAUUGAACUUCUACUACUCUCUGUCUCUGCUACAGCACCUCAUAUGCACUGCCUCGCUCAAGCCUCGUACCAGGAGGUUGUUCAUAUCAUGGACGACUGCGGCUGCUCUCUGUGUGGUGAGCUAUGGUGCUCUACAGACCGGUCACCUCCGACACGACUGAAGACCCGAAGGGACACGUGCUCUGGUGGCUCCCACCUGCUUCAGAGAAGGACCGAGCCUUGAUUCUCAGAGGAGCAAAAGCAUACGCAGGCAGUCCGGAACAAUCAUUGCCACUUUUCCACUUCCAUGUUGGUGACAUCAGGUAACAGAUACAUGGGACGUAAUUAAAAAUAAACGAGAAAAAGGUUUCCAUGGUUCACGAAAGCAGUAGGAGUAUUGUGAGGAAAGCUUAGAAGCAUUUAUCUGCUGCUACCCAAAAUUUAGCAUUUGACUUUAAUUAUGCCUCCUUAGGAAUUAAGCAAAGCAGAAAAUGUUUCAACACGACCAGCUGCUGCAGAUCCAAACUGUUUCACGGGUGAACUUUUUAUUUAAUCUUUUCUGUUGCUUUUUGAUCGUGCAAUAAACCCCACGCGUAACAGAUUAAAGGUCAUAACAAUUAUAAUGACAUUAGCCAGCUAACCCAUUUUUCCCAAACCCUCUUAAAACACCUAGGACCAAAGCAUGCUACUAUAGUCAUAAACCAGAGUCGUCUGGGGAAGAGGCAGGCCCCACCCUCUCCUCUUUCAGAGUCCCUGUGG